ACACAAGCAUCUUUGUUUGGGCCUAGAGCCUCCUGCUUGUUGAGCAUUUCUAAGCUUGCAGAGGACAUGUUAUCAAAUGGGGUGGAAUUUCUUUUUGAAGAUAAAAAAACAGAAUGAUAAUUUAUGUUACUAUAAGAAACGUAAUGCCCAGUAGACCAGAUUAUUAUGUUGGCUGCUGAGAACAUUCUCUCCUUAAGCUCAGUCUACAUCAGAAACCAAAUUAUCAUCAGAAGAUUGUUUAUUUAGAGCUCAGGGAAUCAGGGCAAACUGACUUAGAUGUUGGUGCUGUCAAAGGAGGAGAACCUGGUGUAUCCAUGUCUGCUAUGGGGACUGACCUGUUGGUAAAAUCAAAUACUUGUAUUCAACAGCUAGAAUAUAUUUCUCCCUGGACACAAUUAUAAAUUUUGUCUGCCAUGAGGCCCCUUUGCCAGAGGCAAAGCAUCAAUGGAUGUAAUAUCCUGGAAUCAGCUAUUUUUUAACUACUGAUUGAAAUCCCAGGUAUAUUUGUUUUAACUUAGAAAGGGGAAAAAUUAGUGUUUGGGAGUGAAGUCCAUAUUAUAGCCUCUGCAUCCGUGAACAGGAUUGUGCAUCCAUAUGGACGUUUGACUACCACUCUGAGACGGAUUUGGGAGUUCUCUGCACUCUGAGAGAUUAUUUUUCACAAUGAACUCUAUUUUAAUCUUUAUUGUCUUUUCUUAAACCAUAGAAGUAGCUCAUCUACUAAAAAUUAAAACAGAUAAACAUAUAAAUUAAAACAUGAAACUGUCCUCUUCUCACCCAUCUGUACAGUUAGCUACUGUUACCAGUCUAUUGUAGUUUAUGAACAUACAAACAUAAACGAUAUACAUAGUCACAUUUUUAUCAGAAAAAGAACUCAGUUCAUAUAUUGUUGUAUUUUGAAACUUUUAUUUCACUUAAAAUACAUCAUAUGCAUCUUUCCAUGUAUCUCUUACCUCAUUUAACUUUGUUCGUCGUGUCUUUCUCUGUAGAUGAUCGACAUUUUAAGGCAGUCAUAUCACUCAGCCUUUCCCUUUAUGGCUUCUAGGUUUUGAGUCAUACUGAGGUAGGCUUUUCCCAACCCAAAAUUUUAAAAUAACUUUUUAUAUUUUCUUCAAGCUUUUAAAAAUAACUCUGUGUGUGUGUGUGUGUGUGUGUAGGUGUGUGUUUAAUUCUUCUGGUAUGUGCUUUUGUGUGUUUUAUGAAGUAGAGAUGUAAUUUUACUUCUUUCUCCCAGCCCCAGACAUUGAAUAUGCCGUCUUUUCCUCCACUUUUUGGCAGCACUUUUCAUGCAUUAUUAGUCAUAGGUUAUUUACCAUUGUUAUUUUUCUCUAUAAAUGGGAACAUUAUUGCUGUUUUGGUAUCUUUGAGAUAUGAUGCACUGAGGACUGUUGGUGAAGUCCUAUGCCACAGAACCUGUUUUAUAAAAGAUGAAAUUAAUAAUUUUGGGUUGUGGUACUAGUAAUUCAUUGUGGUAUGGGUCUAUUAUGAAGACAUUUAAAACACCAAAAGGAUAAAUACAGUGCACUUUGGGCUAUGAAAAUGCCACAAUUUGUAAAAGUUAGUCUAGCAGGUGACUUACAUGAAUGUGACAACACUUCACUCAAAGAAAUUUUAAUGCUGUCCUGGGACAUAGGACAAUGAAUGAGAUAAUCAGUGUAUUUGAGUGUUUGAAAAUCUGCUAGCUAAUUCAGUCUUCCAAGCAGGAGAGUUAUUAUAUAUUGUCAUGUGUGCCUUGGAACCAAAGAUAAGAAACUGAUCUUUUUGAAACACGCGAUGAACUGUCAUAUCUAGAGGGCUUGAGCACUAUGAAUUAAGACAUUUCAUUCAUUGGGGGACACUUACAAGAUAAAAUAAUAUUCUUAUCAAAAAACUGGAAGAGAUACAGAUUUAAACACACAUUUUGGUACAAAUAGAGAAAAUAAUAUAAUGAAUAAUAUAAUGAAAUGAUAUCAGUGGGAUAUUGACACUGAGACAAUUGGUUGAAGUUGCAAUUGAUGAAAACAUUCUGUGGAUGAGUUUGAUAGAUGAUACUUCUUUCACCAGUAAUAUAUGUAUUUUUAAGAAAAAAAUUAGAAAAUGAUGUUAGCACAUGGUCUCUACAGUAUAGUGCUCCCUAAAAACUUGCUAGAAUAGAGAAAAGCUAUUAAUUUUUUGUAUUUAUCUUAUGUCUCACCACCUCUUCUAAUUUGCUUAUUGACUUUGUGAUUUUUAAAUAAUCUUUUGUGUUUUAGACGAAUACAAUCAUAUCAAUUGUAAAUAGAAAUUAGUUUUAACUUUUCCCAAUUUUACGCUAAUUAUUUAUUUUCUUAUCUUAUUGUAAUAGCUUUAAUCUCCAAAAAUACUGUUGAAUAAAAAUGGAGAUUGUGGAUAACCUUGACUCGUUCCUGGUUUUAGUGGAAAUGACUUUAUCAUUUCAUGAUUAGAAUGAGGAUUGCUGUUGAUUAUUGGUA
This is a long non-coding RNA of Equus asinus (donkey), 2450 nucleotides long. Lineage: Eukaryota; Metazoa; Chordata; Mammalia; Perissodactyla; Equidae. The record is from Ensembl.